This 379-nucleotide ribosomal RNA is filed under the name uncultured Campylobacterota bacterium. RNAcentral's name for it is "bacterial SSU rRNA". It matches the Rfam family "Bacterial small subunit ribosomal RNA", at positions 114 to 517 of the family's 1533-position model. The record is from RNAcentral. Lineage: Bacteria; Pseudomonadati; Campylobacterota.
UAUAUAGGUAACGUGCCUCUUAGUCUGGGAUAGCCAUUGGAAACGAUGAUUAAUACUAGAUACUCCUUCUCAAUCUAAUUUGAGUCGGGAAAGUUUUUCGCUAAGAGAUCGGUCUAUAUCCCAUCAGCUAGUUGGUAGUGUAAGAGACUACCAAGGCAAUGACGGGUAGCGGGUUUGAGAGGAUGAUCCGCCACACUGGUACUGAGACACGGACCAGACUCCUACGGGAGGCAGCAGUGAGGAAUAUUGCACAAUGGAGGAAACUCUGAUGCAGCAACGCCGCGUGGAGGAUGACGCAUUUCGGUGUGUAACUCCUUUUACGAGUCAAGAAAUGACGGUAGCUCGUGAAUAAGCACCGGGCUAACUCCGUGCCAGCCCG